CCUGACGGUAGUCGUAUGCUCGUCUCCGAGACUAAGCCAUGCAAGUCCAAGUACACGUCCUUGAACGACGGAAACUGCGAACGGCUCAUUAAAUCAGUUGCGAUCUACUCGGCGUUCCGCGCCGCCGGAUAACCGUAGUAAUUCUAGGGCUAAUACGUGCGAAGCGCCCGAAGCCGCGAGGCGACGGGCGUUCUCGCCGGAUGUAGGGAAACCGACCCCGGGGGACCCGCCGGGGGCAACCCCGGCGCCCCCCGAGACGGGGCGAACCACGGUGAAAUGACGGAUCGUCGGCCCCGCGCCGGCGACUCGCCGAAUGAGUUUCUGACCUAUCAACUCGAGACGGCGGGGUAGAGGCCCGCCGCGGUAACGACGGGUAACGGGGAAUCAGGGUUCGAUUCCGGAGAGGGAGCCCGAGAAACGGCUACCACUUCCAAGGAAGGCAGCAGGCGCGCAACUUACCCCUAAUCUCGAUUCGAGGAGGUAGUGACAAGAAAUA
RNAcentral lists this ribosomal RNA (496 nucleotides) under uncultured eukaryote. Its description in RNAcentral is "bacterial SSU rRNA". It matches the Rfam family "Eukaryotic small subunit ribosomal RNA", at positions 13 to 479 of the family's 1831-position model. The record is from RNAcentral.